GCUUCUUUCCUCCCGAGUGCUUGCACUCAAUUGGAAAGAGGAGUGGCGGACGGGUGAGUAACACGUGGGUAACCUACCCAUCAGAGGGGGAUAACACUUGGAAACAGGUGCUAAUACCGCAUAACAGUUUAUGCCGCAUGGCAUAAGAGUGAAAGGCGCUUUCGGGUGUCGCUGACGGAUGGACCCGCGGUGCAUUAGCUAGUUGGUGAGGUAACGGCUCACCAAGGCCACGAUGCAUAGCCGACCUGAGAGGGUGAUCGGCCACACUGGGACUGAGACACGGCCCAGACUCCUACGGGAGGCAGCAGUAGGGAAUCUUCGGCAAUGGACGAAAGUCUGACCGAGCAACGCCGCGUGAGUGAAGAAGGUUUUCGGAUCGUAAAACUCUGUUGUUAGAGAAGAACAAGGACGUUAGUAACUGAACGUCCCCUGACGGUAUCUAACCAGAAAGCCACGGCUAACUACGUGCCAGCAGCCGCGGUAAUACGUAGGUGGCAAGCGUUGUCCGGAUUUAUUGGGCGUAAAGCGAGCGCAGGCGGUUUCUUAAGUCUGAUGUGAAAGCCCCCGGCUCAACCGGGGAGGGUCAUUGGAAACUGGGAGACUUGAGUGCAGAAGAGGAGAGUGGAAUUCCAUGUGUAGCGGUGAAAUGCGUAGAUAUAUGGAGGACGCACCAGUGGCGAAGGCGGCUCUCUGGUCUGUAACUGACGCUGAGGCUCGAAGCGUGGGGAGCAA
RNAcentral lists this ribosomal RNA (732 nucleotides) under uncultured Bacilli bacterium. RNAcentral's name for it is "bacterial SSU rRNA". It matches the Rfam family "Bacterial small subunit ribosomal RNA", at positions 68 to 771 of the family's 1533-position model. The record is from RNAcentral. Lineage: Bacteria; Bacillati; Bacillota; Bacilli.